UACGGAGGGUGCAAGCGUUAUCCGGAUUCACUGGGUUUAAAGGGUGCGUAGGCGGGUAUUUAAGUCAGUGGUGAAAUCCUAGAGCUUAACUCUAGAACUGCCAUUGAUACUAUUUAUCUUGAAUAUUGUGGAGGUAAGCGGAAUAUGUCAUGUAGCGGUGAAAUGCUUAGAUAUGACAUAGAACACCUAUUGCGAAGGCAGCUUACUACGCAUAUAUUGACGCUGAGGCACGAAAGCGUGGGGAUCAAACAGGAUUAGAUACCCUGGUAGUCCACGCCCUAAACGAUGGAUACUCGACAUACGCGAUACACUGUGUGUGUCUGAGCGAAAGCAUUAAGUAUCCCACCUGGGAAGUACGACCGCAAGGUUGAAACUCAAAGG
This 381-nucleotide ribosomal RNA is filed under the name uncultured bacterium. RNAcentral's name for it is "bacterial SSU rRNA". It matches the Rfam family "Bacterial small subunit ribosomal RNA", at positions 524 to 907 of the family's 1533-position model. The record is from RNAcentral.